AGAGCGAACGCUGGCGGCAGGCCUAACACAUGCAAGUCGAGCGCCCGUAGCAAUACGGGAGCGGCAGACGGGAGAGUAACACGUGGGAACGCGCCCUUCGGUUCGGAAUAACUCAGGGAAACUUGAGCUAAUACCGGAUACGCCCUUACGGGGAAAGAUUUAUUGCCGAAGGAACGGCCCGCGUCCGAUUAGCUUGUUGGUGAGGUAAUGGCUCACCAAGGCGACGAUCGGUAGCUGGUCUGAGAGGAUGACCAGCCUCACUGGGACUGAGACACGGCCCAGACUCCUACGGGAGGCAGCAGUGGGGAAUAUGGACAAUGGGCGCAAGCCUGAUCCAGCCAUGCCGCGUGGAUGAUGAAGGCCCUAGGGUUGUAAAGUCCUUUUAACGGGGAAGAUAAUGACGGUACCCGUAGAAUAAGCCCCGGCUAACUUCGUGCCAGCAGCCGC
RNAcentral lists this ribosomal RNA (447 nucleotides) under uncultured bacterium. RNAcentral describes it as "SSU rRNA". It matches the Rfam family "Bacterial small subunit ribosomal RNA", at positions 26 to 518 of the family's 1533-position model. The record is from RNAcentral.